This is a long non-coding RNA of Zingiber officinale, 768 nucleotides long. RefSeq lists it as uncharacterized. NCBI's taxonomy places the organism in Eukaryota, Viridiplantae, Streptophyta, Magnoliopsida, Zingiberales, Zingiberaceae. The record is from RefSeq and is a predicted model, not a curated record. The transcript is spliced from 4 exons.
AUUGGAAGAACUCGUAGCGACGAAGAGGGGGUGGCGAUUUGACUUUCCACAACGAUGGGUAAGCUUUUGAUCUCUGCAGAUGCGUGCCUCUCCUUUUUUGAUGUCUUGGAGAAGGAGUCUUUCGAUCUCCUUUGUGGUUGUUGGUUGCUGCAAGGAUUAAGGUUCAUGAGCUUCUCGGGAAGACGAAGGCGGAGCUGCAGAAUCAGUUGAAGGACCUGGAGAUUGAGCUCUCCCUCCUCCGCGUCGCUAAGGUGACCGGUGUGGCGCGCCCAACAAGCUCUCGAAGAUAAAGGAUGCGAGACUGUCAUAGCGCGUGUGCUUACUGUGGUCUCACAGAAGCAGAGAGCUGCGCGGAGGGAGGCUUACAAGAAUAAGAAGCUUCUUCCGUUGGAUCUCCGCCCCAAGAUGACUCGUGCCAUCCGCAACCGGCUCAAAAGCAUCAGUUUCUAGUUUUGUGGAAAGCUUGUCCGUACCUGCCACAUCAUUGUUCUUCACCAUCCUCCCGAUGACCCCAACGAAAAGAUCCAACACUAGUAUUCCUGCAGCUGGUAAAAGUUUAGUGGCUUCCCCAUUGGAGAUUCACUUACAACGUGGCUAAAUUGUAUCCAGUGUAUGAUCAAGUACACACAAUCAGACAGGCUUUCAGCAAGGAUGGAGAUUAGAAGGUCAAAAAUUAGCUUUCUUUCUGAACUUGACCAUGAGACAGGCGUGUUGUACUUCUUUUCGAGUUUUUCAAACAGACCUGUGCCAGUACCACAUUCCAUCAAG